This is a long non-coding RNA of Dendrobium catenatum, 5199 nucleotides long. RefSeq lists it as uncharacterized. The record is from RefSeq and is a predicted model, not a curated record. Lineage: Eukaryota; Viridiplantae; Streptophyta; Magnoliopsida; Asparagales; Orchidaceae. The transcript is spliced from 3 exons.
CGGAGAGCAAGGGGCAGUAGAUCUCGGAGCUCAGAUCUGCAAGCGCAGAGCUAUUUUUUCUCUUCUAAGCGUUGAUCUAAUCUAGCGGUUUCCCUUCCACUCACUCGGCUUCUGAUCAGAAGAUGAUGAGCAUCCUGUCUUGUUUUUUGCUUCGAUCUUUUGUUAUUCAGAUGAGUGCCAGUUCGGUAAAGAAGAAUCCUUUUUCCUGGAGAUUUAACUACUCGAUCUAAACGAUAUCAAUAUUUGGCUAUUAUACUGUUCGAUCCCGGUCAUAUUCUGGAGUUCGACGCCAAAUACGGAUUUGUUUUGUAUGCUUCUCUCGACCUCGCUGGCAUGUCCUCCUCUAUGUUUGAUUCUUGCAUGAAUCUAAGUAACUGCUGAUGCAAUGUAUUUUGGUCUUGUAGAUGAAGGAUGAUGGCAAGAUUUUGUUUGAGCUUGUUGCAUUGACAACGAGAGAGAGCACGCUGGUUGGCGGCCAUGAACGCGGUCAUGACGGUUUACUUGCGUGCUCCCUCUCGCUGUCAUCCACUUCGCUCUACAAAAUGGCUGCCAUGAAAUGUCAGUGGAGCUGUGGUUUUUAGUAGGAGAUUCUACUUUCUAAGAGCACCAAGAGCACAAGAUGACAUAAAAGGUUCAACUCCAGGGCUCAAUCCAGAAAGUUGUAGCUGAGCAUUGAGGCACAUCACAAGGAGCCAAUUGAAGACCCCAACCUAGUGAAUUUCUUAUUGAUUUGUUUUAUUUAAUCGUUAUUUGGAUGUUGUGUAUGUGCUAGAACUUGAUGUAGCGUAUGUGUAAUUGUAGAAAAUUUAGGUUUUAAGACUUUGAAACUUAAAAUUUAAAUGAUAUUUAGGCAUCGAUAUGUUAAAAAUGAGAUAUAUUAUAAUUAAUUAUUUAAUUAAUUAUAAUAUUUACAAAAGGAGGGCCGGCCAUGGAGUUUAGAGGAAGUUAUUCUAUGUGGUGGUUACCCUUGGGAGGGGGUUUCAUAUAGUUACAUGUGAGGUUGACCACUGUAACUCUUCCCUCCCUUGAUAAUUCGAAUUAAGUUUGUAAACACUUAUAAAGUGUAUGCAUUUCUAGAAUGAAAGUUUAGAAAUAUUUGUUGACAAAUUUUUGGAUUUCAAGAAAUUAAUGGCAAGACUUGGCGGUCAACCACAAAAGGGAAAACUCCAAAAACCGGCGGUUAGCAUGGCUAAACUAGCGGUUUUUUUAUCACUGGCGGUUCUCGGCGGCAUAAAGGCCGCCAGUAAAAAUCGCAUAGGAAAUCCUUAUCGGCGGCCUUUUACCGGCGGUUUUUUUAGCCGGCGGUUUUCCAGCGGUACACACCGCCGGUGACGACCGGAUUUGUAACCGGCGGCGUUCCGACCGUUAAGCCGCCGGUUAAUUUACCGACGGCUAACCGGCGGUCACCUUACCGACGGUAAGCCGGCGGUUAAUGCUGGCGUCGUGUGUUCGCUAAACCGCCGGUAAGCGCAGGUACACCACCGUUACCAUUACUGGCAGUAACCGGCGGUCAAAGCCGACGGUGUACACCACCGGACUUCCGCCGUAACAUCGCCGGUGGCCGUCGGUAACCGCCGGUGUAAUAACGUUACCGGCGGCUUAGCUUUGGCCGUCCGGUAUCGUCGUUUCCGGCGGCCAAACCGCCGGUUGGCCGCCGGAAACCUGUAGCACUUGAAAAAAAAAAUUGACUGCAUUCCCUCUAUUUGAGAAACUAAAGUCGGAAACCUGUAGCACCUCAAAUUGAGGGAAUACUGUCAAUUUUUUUUUCACCUGUAGCACCUGAAAAAAAAAAUUCACCCUAAAGUCUAAACCUGCAGAAAGAGCAAUACAUAAUAAGAUAUUUUGGGCAACACGCCGCUAUAUUCAUCAGAACUAUAAACAUAACCACAAAUCAAAUUAAUAAAUAAGUUUACAAUCAAACAUUAAGAAGUUCCAAAUAAGUUCAUCAAACAUAAAACUAGUUCACAAAGUUCUAAAUUCAAUAAGGUUACAAUCACAAGUUCUAAAUACAAUCAUCAAAUAUAAAAAAGAUCUAAUCCUCAGCUGUAUCCUCACUGUCUGCAGAUGGCUGCUCCUCUUGCUCCUUCUUCCUUUGAUUUUCAGCUCUGUAGGAUUGCAGCUCUGCUUGAAAAAUGUGAUUAGAUUUUAAUGGUCGGAGGUAUGUAAAUAUUAUUUAUGAAUUAAAUUUCGCAUAUUUUGUUUAAUCAAUUUCUUAUAUCAUAAAGUUCUCUCUAUAAAAUUAAUAUUUUUGAAUUUGAGAAACUUUUGUAGAAUCAACAUUAGGUUUUCUUAAAAGAAGUGGUCGUUAUAAUUUGGAUGAUGGUGUUGAUUGCAAUAAGGACUUGAGAUCUCUCAAAUGGGUUAAGAAUAAUAUGAACCCUAAGGUUGGACAAUAUAUAUAGAUACAAAAUAGUGAAGAAAAAGGAAAAUAAAUUAAUAUCCACAAUGAAUGCUAAUUCAGUACAGGAAAAACACCGCCGUUACCAUUACCUUCAAAUCCCAGUUUUUCUUCAACUCACACGAAAAAUAGGGCAACCGGUUUGAGAUUGAGGGCGGCAAGAUAGCGGCCGGUGUGGGGUCAGCGGUCGGAGAGCGGUCGUUGGCGGCAAGACCGUGCGCACGAUCGAGCGAGACGGGCGGAGGCGACGGCAGAGCUCGUGCGAAGAGAGAGAAGGAAAGAUUAGAAAUGAAAUGCGAGGCUCGGGCCCGUUCAUUUUAGGGCAUUUACCGGCGGUCUACCGGCGGUCCUGACUGCCGGUAAGUUCAUCACUUAUCAACGGCGGUAUAGGCCGCCGGUAAACCGCCGGUACGAUUGACAGCCGGCGGUUGCACCGACGGUUACAAGACCGUCGCUAAUACCAGCGGUCGGUCGUUACGAAACCCCCGGGUAGGCCGCCGGUAUUAGCCGACGGUCAUACCGCCGGGCGAACCGCCGGUAAACGGUGUUUUUCCUGUAGUGUUGUGAGUUGAUUAAUUUUGUAUCUUUGUAUUCUACUGAAAUAUUUUGUUGUAAUAUUAUUUAGCAAUAUCCCUACUAUGUUUAAAAAACAUUUCCAUAAAAAAUUUCACUUAGAUCCAUCUAUAGUGGUUGGCCAAUCCUAGCCUGAAAUAUGACAUUGUGUGAUUUUAGUUGGAAAUUAGAGAUCUUAAACCCCAUAAAAUUUUUUGAAGAACUCCAAAUCUAUUCUUAAAACAUACCCCUUUCUCCUCCAAGUGUUAAAUAUUGUGUUUCUAAUGUGUAAACCCUAGUCCUAGAAAAUUCGUCAAACUUCAGCUUUUCUGAAACCUACUACUUCCUAAUUCUAAAGCAAUUAUGCAGACCUUUCAAAAAAUUGUGGAACUUUCCAUAUCACAUCUUGACACUCUUCCCUAACUAAUUAAAUUAAUUUUAUAAUUUUUGGAUAAGUAUUCAUGAUUUUCUAGACAUUUGAAUUUAGCCUAGGAUUUUUUCCCCCAAACCCUAGCUUGACCUCUAUUGCUCUCCAACCUUCAUCCCACCAAGAAAUUAACUCUAACAACAUAUUUAUAAUCUAUUAAGUCUCUUGUGAUGGUUUAGCAACCAAUUUCAAAUUAUCCCCCAUUAUCCUUUCACUUGAUAUCAAAGCAAGUUUCUUUAUGUUCUUAUUCUCACUAGCGACUUGCAAUCUCUCUGUCUACCUAUUUAGAGCUUGUCAUUAUUGGUCUAUCUCAAGAAUGUUGGUUUCCACUUGAUAAAAUUUAAAGAAGAUCUACCUAUUGCCUUCUAUCACCUUCCACUCAAUUCUAGAGUCAUCCUUCUAUUGACCACAUCAACUCCGUUGUUGAUUGCCCCAUGUUCUACUAGUUUGUACCUCAUUAAUGUAGUUGUUAACCAGUAUAGACAAAUUCUAGUUACACAUCCUAUGGCUACUAUUCUGGAUGGAUCCAAUUAUAUUCUUGAGAGUUAAGAAAUGUAGAGUUUUGGUGUAAGCACACGGAGCAUAGGAUGACAUAAAAGGUCAAACAAACUAGUACUCAAUCCAUAAAAGUUGCAGUCGAGGAGGACCCAUCACAAGGAGCCUAUUGAACACCCUAACCUAGGAAAUUAUGUAUUUAUUUUUAUUUGAUUGUUAUUUGGACUUUAUGUAUGUGUCAAAACUUUAUGCAUUGCAUUUGUAAUUGUAUAAAUUUUUGAUUUUAAGUCUUUGAAAUUUAAUUUUUAAAUGAUAUGAGGGUAUUGAUAUGUUUAAAAUGAGAUAAUACAAAUAAUUAUUUAAUUAAUUAUAAUAUUUACAAAAGGAGGGCCAACCAUGGAGGUUAGAGGAAAUUACUCUAUUGGUGGUUACACCUUUGGGAGGAGGUUACAUGUGAGGCUGGCCAUUAUAACUCUUUCUUUAUAAUUCGAAUUAAGUCAUGUUCAAAAAAUUUUUCUUGAUUAGUGUGAUAUAGUUUUCCCUAGAUGUUAGAAAAAGUUUUGCUGAUAGCAAGAGCUAUUAUUUUUUUAAUAUUUAUUCUUUUUUUUUUUGUGUUUAUCUUUUUGUUUUGCUCGAGGGAAGAGCCAAAAUCUAAUUAUGAGGGUAUUUGAUAAGUUAUAUUUUAGUAACUUUUCCCCUAAUUAAAUCUUGACAUUUUACAAAUUUUUUGCUUAAUUCCUAAGAAUCCACUGCAACAAUUCAAAAAUAUGAAGAGAAACACCUAUUUUGUGGAUUUAUGUGAAGUGAAGAAGAAGUGAGUUUAGAGUUGUCUGAACAGAUGAUAGUGCAUCUAGAGCUAUUAAAGGGCUUGGGCGCUUGGGCUCCUAGAACUGGCAACCAAGUGCUAGACAUGGUGUCCAUCUUAGCACCCAAGUGUCAAAACCAAAUGGAUCUUGAGUUUUUUUUAUCAAGGGUGCAUGGGAGCCCAGGCACUCAAGUCUAGUUAUAGGCCUAAUAUGGUGCCUAAGCGCCCAAUUUGGGCACCCAAGCACUCAACAUGGCACCUCACACUAUAUUGAGAUUUUGACGAGCCAAAACUUAUAAUUAUUUUUUGGAGAAUCAUUGUAUGUUAAUAGGCACUACACAAUAUUGUAUUUGUUUUCCUCAGUAUUUUGAUAGUUAUUACUUUUAAUGUUAGCACGAUUCAUGCAUAUUAGAUUAAAAUAAUUGAUUGAUUCUAUAACUUGCACCAAUUUUUUUACACAUUAAUUCAUAUGAAUUGUUUGCUCAUGAUGUACCAUAUGAUUUUUGUGAACUGUGAAUAUAU